This 435-nucleotide ribosomal RNA is filed under the name uncultured bacterium. RNAcentral's name for it is "partial 16S ribosomal RNA". It matches the Rfam family "Bacterial small subunit ribosomal RNA", at positions 29 to 507 of the family's 1533-position model. The record is from RNAcentral.
AACGAACGCUGGCGGCAGGCCUAACACAUGCAAGUCGAGCGGACAUCUUCGGAUGUUAGCGGCGGACGGGUGAGUAACGCGUGGGAACGUGCCCCUUGCUUCGGAAUAGCCUCGGGAAACUGGGAGUAAUACCGGAUGUACCCUUUGGGGGAAAGAUUUAUCGGCAAAGGAUCGGCCCGCGUUGGAUUAGGUAGUUGGUGGGGUAAUGGCCUACCAAGCCGACGAUCCAUAGCUGGUUUGAGAGGAUGAUCAGCCACACUGGGACUGAGACACGGCCCAGACUCCUACGGGAGGCAGCAGUGGGGAAUCUUAGACAAUGGGGGAAACCCUGAUCUAGCCAUGCCGCGUGAGCGAUGAAGGCCUUAGGGUUGUAAAGCUCUUUCACCGGGGAAGAUAAUGACGGUACCCGGAGAAGAAGCCCCGGCUAACUCCGUG